RNAcentral lists this ribosomal RNA (259 nucleotides) under uncultured prokaryote. Its description in RNAcentral is "partial 16S ribosomal RNA". It matches the Rfam family "Bacterial small subunit ribosomal RNA", at positions 524 to 782 of the family's 1533-position model. The record is from RNAcentral.
UACGUAGGUGGCAAGCGUUAUCCGGAUUUACUGGGUGUAAAGGGCGCGCAGGCGGACUUUUAAGUGAGAUGUGAAAUACCCGAGCUCAACUUGGGUGCUGCAUUUCAAACUGGAAGUCUAGAGUGCAGGAGAGGAGAAUGGAAUUCCUAGUGUAGCGGUGAAAUGCGUAGAGAUUAGGAAGAACACCAGUGGCGAAGGCGAUUCUCUGGACUGUAACUGACGCUGAGGCUCGAAAGCGUGGGGAGCAAACAGGAUUAGA